AAGUAAUCUCCACAUCCAACAUGAGGCUUGAACUCACAACUCUGAGAUCAAGAGUCACAUGCACUACCAACUGA
Molecule: small nucleolar RNA, 74 nt
Organism: Vulpes vulpes (red fox)
Lineage: Eukaryota; Metazoa; Chordata; Mammalia; Carnivora; Canidae
Source: Ensembl